UUGGUCCACUUCUCUGUUUGCUCUCUAGCGUACGUUAUCGCGAGUGUUUCGCAUACUCUCUAAUUUCAAUGGAAUGUCAACAUGGAAUAUAUUCGAUAAAACUAUAAUAGCUGUGAAAAUUGCGUCGUGUAGCCUCCCAAAAUCGUAUAAAAGCAGUAUGAUAUAUUAAAGAAUUUCAACAGUCUUCAUCGCUGUAAAAAGUCAGGCUCUAACCUCUUCGGUAUCCUUUUGAAUUUCGUUGUUUCUAUCGAUUAUGGAGAGACGCAACUGCACCGUGAUGUUGCUUCUUCUCGCUUGUGCGAUCGUCCAAGUUCAUUCCUCCUUCGAAAGUGUCAACAUCGUUGAUAUUCCAUCCGGAGAUAAAGAAAAAGAUGAUGUACCUUCACCAGUAACAUUCGACGAACAUAACCACAAAAUAAUAAGAAGAACACCUGGGGCACCGAAAAAUGAUUCGGAGAGGCUGAAUGCUUUGAAAAGAGCGAUAGCACAAUUACGUCCUAAAGUGUCGCGACCUGAAGAUAUAGCGCAAACCCACAGAGAGAACCUGAUGAGACAAUUCGAUGGAAUCGUUGAAAAUAUUCAGCGAGUGUACAGACUAAAUAGGGAGGCAGCAAUCGCCCGCGCUAUGAGUGAGAAUAGAGGACUGGUUGACGAAAUAAUUACAGCACAUGAGAUCUAAGUUUUUCCGUGCCCAAUUCUCACAGUUGGUUCGAGCACAGAAUUUCCGAAUAUAUCACAGUGUUUUGAUACAAAAUUUAUUCGUGUUUUAUGAAUCGAUGCACAAAAAAUGGCCUCCGCAAGAGCGUUAGUAUUAAGUCGAAAAAAUCACACCAUUUGGAAGGAGGAUUUUUAAUUCCAAAACUCUCGCUGUUAUUAUUUCUGUAAAUGUAAAUUUGACAGUUGAAAUGAUAAUAACCCCACAAUAAUGA
Venturia canescens is the source of this 929-nucleotide long non-coding RNA. RefSeq lists it as uncharacterized. NCBI's taxonomy places the organism in Eukaryota, Metazoa, Arthropoda, Insecta, Hymenoptera, Ichneumonidae. The record is from RefSeq and is a predicted model, not a curated record. The transcript is spliced from 2 exons.